UUGUCCUACGGGACGCAGCAGUAGGGAAUCUUCCACAAUGGGCGAAAGCCUGAUGGAGCAACGUCGCGUGGGUGAAGAAGGUCUUCGGAUCGUAAAACCCUGUUGUUAGAGAAGAAAGUGCGUGAGAGUAACUGUUCACGUUUCGACGGUAUCUAACCAGAAAGCCACGGCUAACUACGUGCCAGCGGCCGCGGUAAUACGUAGGUGGCAAGCGUUAUCCGGAUUUAUUGGGCGUAAAGAGAACGCAGGCGGUCUUUUAAGUCUGAUGUGAAAGCCUUCGGCUUAACCGGAGUAGUGCCUUGGAA
Molecule: ribosomal RNA, 305 nt
Filed under: uncultured bacterium
Lineage: Bacteria
Description: bacterial SSU rRNA
Rfam family: Bacterial small subunit ribosomal RNA
Source: RNAcentral